AGCCGGAAUCUCCUUGGUUACUGGCCUAUGUGCCUAUAAGAAGCUGCCACAGAGUGCUGCAGGACAAAUAUGGGGAGUUUUCUCCUCCAGCAUUCCAUGCUGAUUUCCCUGUAAGCUUUUGGUGCAACUGGACCAUCUGGGCAGGCUCCAGGAAGCACAUAAUCAUUUAUAUCCAGGGAUUUGUCGCUAGGGAGGCGUGCAACAAAAAUGAAGACAAAAUUCUGUUUGAAGGAGUCUCCUCCCUGGUGGAAAACAGUGUUAUUUAUGCCUGCUGGAAAAAGGAGAUGCAUGUUUUUGCCACCUUUGCUCAGGCUGUCCAUGUUGUGCUGCUGAAGCGGUACUUGCCAAACCGGAGAGAUGCACAAUUUAAAGGGAAGUAUUACAUCUUCCAAGAACAGCAAGAUGAUGCAAUUUCUGGAACUUCUGUUUCAAAACUGCCAAAGAAAGGUGGUAUUUUUCAGUCUGGCUGGGUUGAAAACUUUAGAGAUCCACUGGGCUUUGCAACCACACGUGGCAGCACCACAGUGAGAAGCAGCAAGCUGAUGCAGGGAAGGGGGAUCACUCUGGACACCAUGGCUGUGGGAAGUCCUACAGAACUUAUCCUAGGUGAACAUGCAAGGACACAGGCUCUGGAAACAAAAGCUCUUUGUGGGCUGGGGGCUCAGGAAGUUCAAGGUAUUGGAGCACCUGAGGGAAUAAUCCCCACUGCAGCACAGGACAUCUGGGGGCAGAAUCCCUCUGUGGGUGAGGACAGCGCUGUGAGCUUUGGUCCUGUGCACAGCAUGCUUUUGGAAACUCCUUUGCUUGGUGCCUUCCAGGGAGCAGAACCUUUUUGGCAGCCAGCAGAUGUGAGUCUGGAGAGCAGACAGCCUGUCCUGAACCCUACACUGAGGCCAAAAGGUCUGGGCCACCUGCAGUUUACAAUUAAACCAACAGGCACGGGUCACCUGGACUUGGCUGCACACUCUGAGCCUCUGUCCCCAGGCACAGGACAAAGCCAGGAGGGCACAGGUCCCACCAGGGACAGCCAGCUCAGCACAGCCAGCCUGGAGAAGGAUGGUAGCCGUGCCCAGCUGAGUGUCCCAGCUGAUGGCCUCACUGAGGGCCUGAUGCCCAGCCUGAGGAGCCCCAAUGAUGUGGUCACCAGGGACCACUUGCAGCUGCUACCUGAGAGAAGCCAAAACAGUUUGGGGCAUUUGUGCAUGCCUAAACCUCAGCCAGGCACAACUGGCCUCCAACACACGAAGCUGGUAGAUGUUCUCCCACUGGGAUGUUCUAGGGGAGCUGUCAGGAGAACAGUGCUGCAUCCCACAGUGCCAGGGCUGGCUGUACCUGCUUUGGCAACAGGGCUGGAGCAUCCUCUCACACCUGUGCCUGCCCUGGGGACAGAAACCACCCCUGUGCUGGUGACCUCCUCUGCAGCACCUGUCCCUGCAGAUUUUGGCUAUCUGGAUUUAUUCCCUGAAGCGCCUCUUCCUCCACAAGUGGAGUCUGUGUCCAUGGUGGCCUCUCUCCCAGCUGCUCUGGAUCAGGAUCCUGUCAGUCUCAGGCAAAGGGACACCUCCCCAGCUAGCCCAGGAGGACAGGACAUGAUCUCCCCUUCACCACCCUGCUAUCCAUCAGUAGCCUCUGAACUGGGCACUAAUGGGUCCUCCAGAUACCUUGGCCCUGGGAUGCAAAAGUUGGUGCCUGAUGGACAGGCAGGUGGUCAGAGAGGCAAAACCACAGCCUCUGUGGGCUUGAUGGCCAGGAGUCCCUUCCCAGUCUUUGUCACUGUCCCAGGGCCUGGUGUGAGGCUUACUCAGCCUGAGGGCCAUGUCAGCAGUGGCUCUGGGGGGACACCAGCUUCCCUGGCUGGCACCAGAGAGGAGCACAAGGUGCCUGUGCAGCAUCAGCACAGUGCUGCUAGUGACAAACCAGCUUCUGCCUCCAACUUCAGGGGAUUUAACAUGCAGGGAACCACAGAAACCGUGCUAGUGGGUUCAGGGCAGAGGACAACUGCCUCCUUCAGCACCACUCCUGCACACCCUGAUCUGCCUGCAGCUCCAUGGGGAGAAACACUGCCAGGAGACCAGCAGCCUUGGGAGCCCUCUGAUGUACCCAGGAACACCCAGGUGCCAGAAGGACAGCCAGAGAAACAUGCUGAGCUGGGCCCUCCCUGGGUAACCGAGUACUUUCCCAUCAGGAGCUGCCACCUCAUCUUCCAGGGUGGGUCUGGCAUGUUUUACCUCCCUCUGCAUGCUGAACCCAACACCUGGUGCAACUGGACCAUCUGGGCAGGCCCCCAGAAGCACAUUGUCAUCUAUGUCCAAGGAUUCCAGGGGAGCGAUGGCUGUGGCAACAACCAGGACAAGAUCAUCUUCCAGGGGGGCUCGUCAAGCGUGGAAACCAAAGUGGUGUUUGCCUGCCACAACAGAGGCACUCUGAUCUUUGCUGCACAAGCCACCGAGGUCCAGGUGUUGUUUCUGUCAGGGAGUGGUUCCAGAAGCCAUGAAUACAGGUAUUUUAAAGGACAGUAUUAUGUAUUCAGGGACUCUGAAGCUGUGGGCUCUUCGAGUGAUACCCUAGCAGCUCCCCAAGAAACUGUCCAGGACACCUCUGGAAAAGAGAGCUGGAGGACAGUGGUGACCAAAGGUUUAUUGUCCAUGCUGACAGCUCCUCCAGGCCCAUCUGCUGGAGGCAGGAUCCAGCCUGACACUGUGAGCCCGGAAGAAGCAGCCCAGCGUUCUCCUGAUCUCAUGGAAGGUGGUCAGCCUGGUGCCAACCUGAGUGAGCAUGGUCAGGAUGAAACCAGGCUGGAAAGGAACCUUAAGGAUGGUGGCAGCAAGGGCAGAGAACCUGAAGAUGACAUGUUGGUGGAGCCAGCUCCAGCUGGGCAAGACACUGAGGGUAAAGCCGAGCCACCUGCCUUGGAGCUGACCACAGGGGACACAGAGCCAGGGGCUGCUCUGUCCACCAUGGUCCCAUGUCACCCAGCUGGCUCCCCUUGCUCAGAGAUGCCCAGCAGCAGAAUAGGUGUCUCUGACAAAUCACCUACGCUGGGUCAGGCCAGUGACAGCCCCUCAGAAGUGGCAGCUGCUGCACACCACACACAGACACCAGUGCUGGCACAGCCACCACUAGGCACCAGCACAAAAACACCUCUCUACCCCUCUCCUGGUGUGACUGCUGCUGACGUGGUGUCUCUGGGAGGAAGGACUGAAGACCUCUUUGGUCUGAUGUCAUCUGUGGAGAACAACACAGGAUUGCAAUCCCAGCACCAUCCUGGAGAUGUGCUGUUUGAAGUCACUAUUGAAAUCAAACCCAAGGACUGGAUUCCUCAUGGUGGAAGUGAGCUCCAAAAGGGUCUCCUUGAAUCUCUGAAGAAUCACAUCCGGAAGAACCUGAAGCUUUCUGCCAAUAGAGUCAGUGAAAUAAAGUUAAAGGAUGUCAAAAGGAGGAGUGAUGCCAACCUGCUGCUCACCUUCUGGCUGCACCUGGAGCCGGAGGAGAGGAACGUGUCUCUGCUCCUGCGCUCCCAGCUGCAGCAGCUGCUUGGCACCUCGGUGGGCGUGGAGAAGCUGCAGCUUGUUUCACUGUUUGUUGAAGAUGUGAACGAGUGCCAGGCUGGGGUUGGUCUCUGUGGGGAGGAGGCAGAGUGCCUCAAUGGCGUGGGCACCUACCUGUGCCGCUGCAAGAAGGGCUACGAGGAUCAUUCCCCCACCAAGUCCGGCACGCUGUGCAUCCGCGCUCCCCACCCAGGGAUCAGCGCCUUCCUCCGCCACGCUGACAUGCUGGUGGGGGCAGCCCUCGUGGCCGGCCUGGUGAUGCUGGUGGCCUUUGGUGCCCUCUGUGUCAUGGCCGUGUGGGGCCGGGCCCCCGGGAGGAGCCCGAGGCCUGAGGAGCCCCCGGUGGGGGCGGUGGAGGAGCCAGCCAUGGAGCUGCAUGACCUGGGGGAGUGCCUGCGCCUCGACCCCUUCCAGCUGAAGCUGAGGGCCAGGUCCCCCGAGUGGCUCUGGAGCCUCCGUGCCCACCCUGGCCCGGCAGGACUGACGGGUCUUCCCAGAGCAGCUCCCCCACCCUGAGGGGGUCCCGGGCCUCGGUGACCUGAGCAGUCACUCCAUCAUUUCUCAGGGGUUCUGACACAACCACUGGCUGUGCCAACACUUCUGCUGUGUUCUGUGGGCCAUGAAUAUCCCAAAACAGCGCUCUUCAUGUUGUAAUUGAAUUUUUUGCAAUGCUUGCUCAGCAUGGGGAAAAAAAUGUUUGCUGCAAGCUGCUGUACUUCUGCUGAUUUACCCUGCUCAAGACCUGCACAGGAGAAUUAAAAACUUUUUUUUUUAAGAAAAAAGGAAAUAAGACGUUUUGGUGCCUAAUAUAAAAUUAAAAAUUAUUCUGCAUCCUGCUCAGUGCUGCCUGCUUUCUUCUGCCCCCAAGGAAGAGCUUUAUGGGAAGCCUUGGCAGGACCUGAGGAUCUGUGGGGUAUUUCUUCCAGCCUGGCUGAGAAACAUCUCCAGAACUUAAAAUUCUGGUGAGAAACACAGUCAGGUUAUGGUCAGUGGGCCCCCACUCACAGAACGAUGAGGACAGCAUUUUUGGUGCUUGCAUGGAUGCUUGCUGCAAAAAGCCCACCACCAGCCCAUCGUCCUGGCAGAACAUAAAGCACAGCUCUCUUCCCAGCUUGUCCUGCAGCUGGAGCCCGGUAACUUCUCUGUUUGUCUUUCUGAGGGGGGUUUCAGUGGGAAUUCCCCCCUUUCCUGGGGAAGAAGCGUGCUCGGUGCGGUGCAGGUGCCCCA
Molecule: long non-coding RNA, 4775 nt
Filed under: Cyanistes caeruleus (blue tit)
Lineage: Eukaryota; Metazoa; Chordata; Aves; Passeriformes; Paridae
Description: lncRNA (ENSCCEG00000012890.1)
Source: RNAcentral